GUGCUGCAUGGGCAGCACAUGUGCUCAAACCGGAACAAUUCAGAGAUGAUUAGCAUGGCCCCCGAGAAAGGAUGACCCGCACAUUCAUGAAGUGUUCCGUAUUUUU
Small nuclear RNA from Hippopotamus amphibius kiboko, 106 nucleotides. NCBI's taxonomy places the organism in Eukaryota, Metazoa, Chordata, Mammalia, Artiodactyla, Hippopotamidae. The record is from RefSeq and is a predicted model, not a curated record.